AACCACUGCUAGACAUCAAAAUUAGUGUGGGCCGCAUGUACUUGUAGUGAUACCGCGAAAUCGCAGAGUGAGCCACGCCUGGCUUAGAUCAAAAAUCAGAGUUUCCAUAAUCAAACCCGGUUAUGUCCUUAGACUACGUCUAAAAGAGAGGUACGGGCACUGUGAAUAUCAUCUCGCUUUGUGUGGUAGGGCACAGCACAGCGGAUGUCAUUCCAGAUCUAGAGCAGAGUCCAACUGAGGUGGUACCUUACAGAAAACUGCAGACAAAUAACAUUAGAAUCGGUUCAGCGGUUUAAGGGUGAAGAGGUAACAGCUAUUUUAUAAUAGUAAUGAGGGGUUCUAUUAGAUCGUAUCAGUUUUUUCUUUCAAAAUGGCGGUGUCAUACGGGUUUUUGAGUCGACAGAGUUCAAUAGGUAUAUUGUUUUAUCCUUAUUUUAACAGACAAGCCACAUUAAAUGAAAUUAAUCUACAUUAUUUUAUUUUCCUCCUGAGCCAAUGGCUGACAUAUUGUGGUAUAAUUUAGAAGGAUACAAACGUGGAUGAAUACAACAGAAUAAUGUUAAAAUUUAUUUUAUUCAUUAUGUUUUUGGGUUUCAUUGGAGUCUAUUCGGACUCCGAUCUACCUGUACUACCAGUGUACCCGGAUACCUUCGUAUACUCUGGCAAACCCUUUUAUGAAUUUACAUGCAAUGCAAGUUUGAAAAAUGGACAAUGGUUGUCCUGGUAUCAAGAAAAACCAUCAAAAACAGAACCAAUAUUUUUAAGAACAUUAAAGACAGAUAAGGAAGGACCUAAGACGAUCGACUUGCUGCUGCCCAUCGAUCAAUCGGACAAAGGAAGUAUUGUAUACUGCAUCGUACACGACAAACCGAGUACAGGCGAAUAUAUACCAGUAUCCAGAAGCGUAAAUAUCACUAUUGAUUUCCAAAUAAAAAAUGUGCCUCCAA
This is a long non-coding RNA of Cydia pomonella (codling moth), 947 nucleotides long. RefSeq lists it as uncharacterized. Lineage: Eukaryota; Metazoa; Arthropoda; Insecta; Lepidoptera; Tortricidae. The record is from RefSeq and is a predicted model, not a curated record. The transcript has 2 exons.